AUGCAGUCGAGCGGAACGACACUAACAAUCCUUCGGGUGCGUUAAUGGGCGUCGAGCGGCGGACGGGUGAGUAAUGCCUAGGAAAUUGCCUUGAUGUGGGGGAUAACCAUUGGAAACGAUGGCUAAUACCGCAUAAUGCCUACGGGCCAAAGAGGGGGACCUUCGGGCCUCUCGCGUCAAGAUAUGCCUAGGUGGGAUUAGCUAGUUGGUGAGGUAAUGGCUCACCAAGGCGACGAUCCCUAGCUGGUCUGAGAGGAUGAUCAGCCACACUGGAACUGAGACACGGUCCAGACUCCUACGGGAGGCAGCAGUGGGGAAUAUUGCACAAUGGGCGAAAGCCUGAUGCAGCCAUGCCGCGUGUAUGAAGAAGGCCUUCGGGUUGUAAAGUACUUUCAGUUGUGAGGAAGGGGGUAGCGUUAAUAGCGCUAUCUCUUGACGUUAGCAACAGAAGAAGCACCGGCUAACUCCGUGCCAGCAGCCGCGGUAAUACGGAGGGUGCGAGCGUUAAUCGGAAUUACUGGGCGUAAAGCGCAUGCAGGUGGUUCAUUAAGUCAGAUGUGAAAGCCCGGGGCUCAACCUCGGAACUGCAUUUGAAACUGG
Molecule: ribosomal RNA, 600 nt
Filed under: Vibrio sp. FI3
Lineage: Bacteria; Pseudomonadati; Pseudomonadota; Gammaproteobacteria; Vibrionales; Vibrionaceae
Description: bacterial SSU rRNA
Rfam family: Bacterial small subunit ribosomal RNA
Source: RNAcentral